UGGGGAANUUUCCGCAAUGGGCGAAAGCCUGACGGAGCAAUACCGCGUGAGGGAGGAAUGCCUUUGGGUUGUAAACCUCUUUUCUCAGGGAAGAAGAUCUGACGGUACCUGAGGAAUAAGUAUCGGCUAACUCCGUGCCAGCAGCCGCGGUAAUACGGAGGAUGCAAGCGUUAUCCGGAAUCAUUGGGCGUAAAGCGUCCGCAGGUGGUUUCCAAAGUCUGCUGUUAAAGACUGGAGCUCAACUCCGGAACGGCGGUGGAAACUUGGAAACUAGAGUUCGGUAGGGGUAGCAGGAAUUCCAGUGUAGCGGUGAAAUGCGUAGAUAUUGGGAAGAACAUCGGUGGCGAAGGCGUGCUACUGGACCGUAACUGACACUCAGGGACGAAAGCUAGGGGAGCGAAAGGGAUUAGAUACCCCUGUAGUCCUAGCUGUAAACGAUGGAAACUAGGUGUGGCUUGA
RNAcentral lists this ribosomal RNA (459 nucleotides) under uncultured marine microorganism. RNAcentral describes it as "bacterial SSU rRNA". It matches the Rfam family "Bacterial small subunit ribosomal RNA", at positions 355 to 830 of the family's 1533-position model. The record is from RNAcentral.